This 633-nucleotide ribosomal RNA is filed under the name Frondihabitans sp. Ri2Ps_4924. RNAcentral's name for it is "bacterial SSU rRNA". It matches the Rfam family "Bacterial small subunit ribosomal RNA", at positions 382 to 1011 of the family's 1533-position model. Lineage: Bacteria; Bacillati; Actinomycetota; Actinomycetes; Micrococcales; Microbacteriaceae. The record is from RNAcentral.
CCUGAUGCAGCAACGCCGCGUGAGGGAUGACGGCCUUCGGGUUGUAAACCUCUUUUAGUAGGGAAGAAGCGACUGAAUUUAUUCUGAGUGACGGUACCUGCAGAAAAAGCACCGGCUAACUACGUGCCAGCAGCCGCGGUAAUACGUAGGGUGCAAGCGUUGUCCGGAAUUAUUGGGCGUAAAGAGCUCGUAGGCGGUUUGUCGCGUCUGCUGUGAAAUCUGGGGGCUCAACCCCCAGCCUGCAGUGGGUACGGGCAGACUAGAGUGCGGUAGGGGAGAUUGGAAUUCCUGGUGUAGCGGUGGAAUGCGCAGAUAUCAGGAGGAACACCGAUGGCGAAGGCAGAUCUCUGGGCCGUAACUGACGCUGAGGAGCGAAAGCAUGGGGAGCGAACAGGAUUAGAUACCCUGGUAGUCCAUGCCGUAAACGUUGGGAACUAGAUGUAGGGGCCAUUCCACGGUUUCUGUGUCGCAGCUAACGCAUUAAGUUCCCCGCCUGGGGAGUACGGCCGCAAGGCUAAAACUCAAAGGAAUUGACGGGGGCCCGCACAAGCGGCGGAGCAUGCGGAUUAAUUCGAUGCAACGCGAAGAACCUUACCAAGGCUUGACAUAUACCGGAAACGUCCAGAGAUGGUC